GGGCCUGUAGCUCAGUUGGGAGAGCGCCACAAUGGCAUUGUGGAAGUCAGGGGUUCGAGUCCCCUCAGGUCCA
This 73-nucleotide transfer RNA is filed under the name Chloroflexota bacterium. RNAcentral describes it as "Chloroflexi bacterium tRNA-Ala". It matches the Rfam family "tRNA". Rfam says of the family: Transfer RNA (tRNA) molecules are approximately 80 nucleotides in length. Their secondary structure includes four short double-helical elements and three loops (D, anti-codon, and T loops). The record is from RNAcentral. Lineage: Bacteria; Bacillati; Chloroflexota. RNAcentral also lists the same sequence under 3 other names.